UACGAAGGGGGCUAGCGUUGCUCGGAAUCACUGGGCGUAAAGCGCACGUAGGCGGGUUGUUAAGUCGGGGGUGAAACCCUGAGGCUCAACCUCAGAACUGUCUUCGAUACUGGCGAUCUUGAGUUCGGAAGAGGUUGGUGGAACAGCUAGUGUAGAGGUGAAAUUCGUAGAUAUUAGCUAGAACACCAGUGGCGAAGGCGGCCAACUGGUCCGAUACUGACGCUGAGGUGCGAAAGCGUGGGGAGCAAACAGG
Molecule: ribosomal RNA, 253 nt
Filed under: uncultured bacterium
Lineage: Bacteria
Description: partial 16S ribosomal RNA
Rfam family: Bacterial small subunit ribosomal RNA
Source: RNAcentral